GGAGGAGUACCCAAGUGGCUUACGGGAGCACUCUGCUAAUGUGCCAAGGGAGUAAAAUCCCUUCGUGGGUUCGAAUCCCACCUCCUCCG
RNAcentral lists this transfer RNA (89 nucleotides) under Candidatus Nealsonbacteria bacterium CG_4_8_14_3_um_filter_40_11. RNAcentral describes it as "tRNA-Ser". It matches the Rfam family "tRNA". Rfam says of the family: Transfer RNA (tRNA) molecules are approximately 80 nucleotides in length. Their secondary structure includes four short double-helical elements and three loops (D, anti-codon, and T loops). Lineage: Bacteria; Candidatus Nealsoniibacteriota. The record is from RNAcentral. RNAcentral also lists the same sequence under 1 other name.